Molecule: non-coding RNA, 126 nt
Filed under: Pectobacterium sp. CFBP8739
Lineage: Bacteria; Pseudomonadati; Pseudomonadota; Gammaproteobacteria; Enterobacterales; Pectobacteriaceae
Also listed under: 1 other name
Description: antisense sRNA RprA
Rfam family: RprA RNA
About the family: Translational regulation of the stationary phase sigma factor RpoS is mediated by the formation of a double-stranded RNA stem-loop structure in the upstream region of the rpoS messenger RNA, occluding the translation initiation site.
Source: RNAcentral
CCGGAGCUAGUAUUAACCUACUGUUUGUCAAUGAGGUUUCCUCCUCGUCAGAGUUAGUAACGAAGAGUUAGUAACGAAUUGCUGUGUGUAGUCUUUGCCCAUCCCCUGAGAUGGGCCUUUUUUUUU